AUGGUACCCAGCUCAGUGGUACCCGACCCAGGGGGCUCGGUGGUACCCAGCCCGGCUCAGGCAGACAGGUGCAGACGGGGCUCUGGGCUGGGUGCAGGGGGGCCGGGCAGCGCGGCCGGGUCUGCCCUUCGCGCGGGGCAGGAUGACGAGUUGGCCGGCUCUGUGGGUGCUCGGGGUCGGCGGCGGGGAAGAGGCUCCCUGAUUUGUCCGGCUGAGCGGCCAUUGCCCCUUUCCUCCCGGCGGCAUGGCCGGGGCUGGCACUGGAAUAGCCUGGCCGGAGGCUGCCUCCGGCGCCCGAAUUUCCCCGGCGCUUGUGCAAGAAGCAAGGAGGCUUCUGCUUUUCUUGUUGCAGCAGGAGGCGUCGCUGCCCGGCAAAGGGGCCGCGCAGCCAGCGCAGCCUUGGGCUUAUCGGCCCGCAACGGGGGGGGGGAGAGGUCCCCCGGGGCCGCGCGGGAGCUGAUUCGGGCCGGCUGUGCCGCGGGGCGGCCCGACCCUAUGCUUGCUGCGAGCAGCCCGACCCCGGCUCCUCUUGCGCAACGCCGACGCCAGCUCCCGUUCUUCGAGGGUGGCGAAAGGGCGCUUGCAUCCCGGCCGCCUCUCCGAGCCGCCCCGAGCGCGCCGCUCGGCAAGCACCGCGUCUGCGCCUGCAGCCCGGGCCUGCUAAACGCGCGUGCCCGCUCGCACGGAGAAGCCAGCGGCGAGGCCCUAAGUGCUUGUGCUUUAGAGUACGCCUGCCGCCAGCGUGCCGUAAUCCGUUCUAAUUUGGGGUUAGCCGCGGUUUUAUUCUUAGCAACCGGCAGGCGUACGUGUUUUGGCAAGUUUGCAGCUGGUGCCCGGCUCUCCCGGGGCCACGGCGCGUUUGCCCCGGCCCCCAGCGGCUCUUUUGACGGGGGCCCCCCCCUCGUAUCUCCCUCUUGCGGGGAGACCAGCCGAACGCCGGGACGGGGGGGCCGAGCCUCCAGACGCGGGCGCCCGGCCGAGGCUUGCGGCAAGGCUCUGGGGGUCCCCGGCAGCUCCUGGCCAUUGACAUACUUCCCUCCCCGACCGCGUGGCUGGUUUUCGGCGCCCCUCUCCUCCGUGGGGUCCCGUCCGUCCGCUUGCCGCGGGACAGUUCCCCAAUGUGUCGCUCCGUGUGCUUCUCCCACCGGGUUCGGCGCUGCUUAA
Molecule: long non-coding RNA, 1164 nt
Organism: Apteryx haastii (Great spotted kiwi)
Lineage: Eukaryota; Metazoa; Chordata; Aves; Apterygiformes; Apterygidae
Source: Ensembl